GAUGAAGAACGCAGCGAAAUGCGAUAAGUAAUGUGAAUUGCAGAAUUCAGUGAAUCAUCGAAUCUUUGAACGCACCUUGCGCCCUUUGGACUUCUGAAGGGCAUGCCUGUUUGAGUAUCAUGAACACCUCAACUCCUUAUGGUCUUCCAUGAUGAGCUUGGACUUUGGGGGUUUUGCUGGCCUACAGUCAGCUCCUCUAAAAUAAAUCAGCUUACCGGUGUUUGGUGGGUAUCAUGGGUGUGAUAACUAUCUACGCUCGUGGUUUUCCACCAGGUAACCUUCAGCAGUGGAGGUUCACUGGAGCUCAUAGAUGUCUCUCCUCAGCGAGGACAGCCCUUUGAAUGUUUGAUCUCAAAGCAGGUAGGACUACCCGCUGAACUUAAGCAUAUCAAUAAGCGGAGGA
RNAcentral lists this unclassified non-coding RNA (403 nucleotides) under soil metagenome. RNAcentral's name for it is "partial contains 5.8S ribosomal RNA, internal transcribed spacer 2, and large subunit ribosomal RNA". The stretch from base 1 to 120 matches the Rfam family "5.8S ribosomal RNA", at positions 35 to 154 of the family's 154-position model. The record is from RNAcentral.